Molecule: ribosomal RNA, 479 nt
Filed under: Streptococcus mutans
Lineage: Bacteria; Bacillati; Bacillota; Bacilli; Lactobacillales; Streptococcaceae
Description: bacterial SSU rRNA
Rfam family: Bacterial small subunit ribosomal RNA
Source: RNAcentral
GACGAACGCUGGCGGCGUGCCUAAUACAUGCAAGUGGGACGCAAGGGAACACACUGUGCUUGCACACCGUGUUUUCUUGAGUCGCGAACGGGUGAGUAACGCGUAGGUAACCUGCCUAUUAGCGGGGGAUAACUAUUGGAAACGAUAGCUAAUACCGCAUAAUAUUAAUUAUUGCAUGAUAAUUGAUUGAAAGAUGCAAGCGCAUCACUAGUAGAUGGACCUGCGUUGUAUUAGCUAGUUGGUAAGGUAAGAGCUUACCAAGGCGACGAUACAUAGCCGACCUGAGAGGGUGAUCGGCCACACUGGGACUGAGACACGGCCCAGACUCCUACGGGAGGCAGCAGUAGGGAAUCUUCGGCAAUGGACGAAAGUCUGACCGAGCAACGCCGCGUGAGUGAAGAAGGUUUUCGGAUCGUAAAGCUCUGUUGUAAGUCAAGAACGUGUGUGAGAGUGGAAAGUCACACGGUGACGUAGCUACC